RNAcentral lists this transfer RNA (76 nucleotides) under Bacteroides fragilis. Its description in RNAcentral is "tRNA-Asn". It matches the Rfam family "tRNA". Rfam says of the family: Transfer RNA (tRNA) molecules are approximately 80 nucleotides in length. Their secondary structure includes four short double-helical elements and three loops (D, anti-codon, and T loops). Further hydrogen bonds mediate the characteristic L-shaped molecular structure. tRNAs have two regions of fundamental functional importance: the anti-codon, which is responsible for specific mRNA codon recognition, and the 3' end, to which the tRNAs corresponding amino acid is attached (by aminoacyl-tRNA synthetases). tRNAs cope with the degeneracy of the genetic code in two manners: having more than one tRNA (with a specific anti-codon) for a particular amino acid; and 'wobble' base-pairing, i.e. permitting non-standard base-pairing at the 3rd anti-codon position. Lineage: Bacteria; Pseudomonadati; Bacteroidota; Bacteroidia; Bacteroidales; Bacteroidaceae. The record is from RNAcentral. RNAcentral also lists the same sequence under 26 other names.
GUCCGGUUAGCUCAAUUGGUAGAGCAAUACACUGUUAAUGUAAAGGUCGGUAGUUCGAUUCUAUCACCGGGCGCAA